Molecule: long non-coding RNA, 362 nt
Filed under: Elaeis guineensis (African oil palm)
Lineage: Eukaryota; Viridiplantae; Streptophyta; Magnoliopsida; Arecales; Arecaceae
Description: long non-coding RNA (EGUI_LNC024923)
Source: RNAcentral
UUGUCAGGUCUUCCAUUUGCAGCCAUACCUCCCAACACCACAUCUCAAGCAUUUUUCUUGAAUACGGUAAAUGGAGUAGAUCAAACUCCUGAAUGCAGGCUAGGAGUAAAAGGGCGAGAGCUGCUCUACUAUGCUCUGCCGUGACCAGCGUCGACCUUCCUAAGAGGGGAUGGUGAGGAGAGUAAUUUGGGUGGAGGUCGGAGGUAAGAGAACCUCUGCAUAAGAUGGCGAUCUUCCCUAUAAUUCCAGAGGCCAGAGGGAGUUGUUGUGGGCCUUGAAGUCGAUUAAUGGAGGAUUCAGGGAGAUCAGAGGUGUUGCAUGGCUACUUAUCGGUAGCUUUCUCAAGCCCGGUAGUGAUACUA